Molecule: long non-coding RNA, 874 nt
Filed under: Spirodela polyrhiza (greater duckweed)
Lineage: Eukaryota; Viridiplantae; Streptophyta; Magnoliopsida; Alismatales; Araceae
Description: long non-coding RNA (SPOL_LNC000608)
Source: RNAcentral
CCGGCCGGUGAGACAGGCGAAGGAGCCUACUACGGCGUGGACAUCAACUCCGGUGGAAUUGCAGACUCCUUUGCGAACUUCGUGUGGGAGCCUGCUGUGGUGAAGGUACCUACCUACCUCAAGAGCAAGAGCGUCGUCGAUGCGAUCUCCUUCGGCGCGUUUCCUGGGCCUCGUGUGGUGUUCUUUGCUUGCCGACUCUGUGCGUUCUUGCUCCUGCAGAUUAACGCCAUAAAUGCCGCAACUGAGGCUGCUUGCCUCAUUCUCAGCGUGGACGAGACAAUCAAAAACCCCAAGGUGAAAAGUCAACUUCUUUUUUCCUUUUACUGGACAAGCGCACUCGCUCAAUCCUUGUCCGUGGGAUGGGAGUUCUUUUUUCUUAAAGCCAGAAUUAUAAUACGCCCACAUGUCUAUCUAUCUAUCUAUCUAUCUAUCUAUCUAUCUAUCUAUCUACAUGUAUAUACAUAUAGAUAGAUAGAUAGAUAUAUAGAUUGACAGAUAUGCGUGUGUAUUAUAAAGUUGGGAUUGUUUUGACAGAAAAAAAAGAGGAUAUAAUCAUGCAUUGUACGGGCAUUUUCUGACCGUGCUCUUGAAUGAGACCUGGCAGUCCGAGAGCGCCCAGGGGGAGGCGGCGGCCAGUGCGAUGGCGGGCCGAGGGCGCGGCGGAGGUGGCUUCCGCGGCCGCGGAGGGCGGGGCAUGAGGCGGCGGUGAUUUUGCCGGCGGGUAGAUGCGGGUUCUCUGCCGUUGGGCUCCUGUGUUGGCUUUUGACUUUUAUGAGAGUGCUGGUGGGCGCUGGAGAACAAAGUGGACCAGUUCGAUCUGCGGGGAGGGGCGGUGGUGUGCCCUUCGCUGUCACUGGAAAUUUUGCAGUUAUCC